This 819-nucleotide ribosomal RNA is filed under the name uncultured bacterium. RNAcentral describes it as "bacterial SSU rRNA". It matches the Rfam family "Bacterial small subunit ribosomal RNA", at positions 51 to 862 of the family's 1533-position model. The record is from RNAcentral.
ACACAUGCAAGUCGAGGGGCAGCAUGGUCUUAGCUUGCUAAGGCCGAUGGCGACCGGCGCACGGGUGAGUAACACGUAUCCAACCUGCCGUCUACUCUUGGACAGCCUUCUGAAAGGAAGAUUAAUACAAGAUGGCAUCAUGAGUUCACAUGUUCACAUGAUUAAAGGUAUUCCGGUAGACGAUGGGGAUGCGUUCCAUUAGAUAGUAGGCGGGGUAACGGCCCACCUAGUCUUCGAUGGAUAGGGGUUCUGAGAGGAAGGUCCCCCACAUUGGAACUGAGACACGGUCCAAACUCCUACGGGAGGCAGCAGUGAGGAAUAUUGGUCAAUGGGCGCAGGCCUGAACCAGCCAAGUAGCGUGAAGGAUGACUGCCCUAUGGGUUGUAAACUUCUUUUAUAAAGGAAUAAAGUCGGGUAUGUAUACCCGUUUGCAUGUACUUUAUGAAUAAGGAUCGGCUAACUCCGUGCCAGCAGCCGCGGUAAUACGGAGGAUCCGAGCGUUAUCCGGAUUUAUUGGGUUUAAAGGGAGCGUAGGUGGAUGUUUAAGUCAGUUGUGAAAGUUUGCGGCUCAACCGUAAAAUUGCAGUUGAUACUGGAUAUCUUGAGUGCAGUUGAGGCAGGCGGAAUUCGUGGUGUAGCGGUGAAAUGCUUAGAUAUCACGAAGAACUCCGAUUGCGAAGGCAGCCUGCUAAGCUGCAACUGACAUUGAGGCUCGAAAGUGUGGGUAUCAAACAGGAUUAGAUACCCUGGUAGUCCACACGGUAAACGAUGAAUACUCGCUGUUUGCGAUAUACGGCAAGCGGCCAAGCGAAAGCGUUA